RNAcentral lists this ribosomal RNA (608 nucleotides) under uncultured fungus. RNAcentral describes it as "eukaryotic LSU rRNA". The stretch from base 234 to 387 matches the Rfam family "5.8S ribosomal RNA". The record is from RNAcentral. Lineage: Eukaryota; Fungi.
CUUGGUCAUUUAGAGGAAGUAAAAGUCGUAACAAGGUCCCCGUAGGUGAACCUGCGGAGGGAUCAUUACACAAAUAUGAAGGCGGGCUGGAACCUCUCGGGGUUACAGCCUUGCUGAAUUAUUCACCCUUGUCUUUUGCGUACUUCUUGUUUCCUUGGUGGGUUCGCCCACCACUAGGACAAACAUAAACCUUUUGUAAUUGCAAUCAGCGUCAGUAACAAAUUAAUAAUUACAACUUUCAACAACGGAUCUCUUGGUUCUGGCAUCGAUGAAGAACGCAGCGAAAUGCGAUAAGUAGUGUGAAUUGCAGAAUUCAGUGAAUCAUCGAAUCUUUGAACGCACAUUGCGCCCUUUGGUAUUCCAAAGGGCAUGCCUGUUCGAGCGUCAUUUGUACCCUCAAGCUUUGCUUGGUGUUGGGCGUCUUGUCUCUAGCUUUGCUGGAGACUCGCCUUAAAGUAAUUGGCAGCCGGCCUACUGGUUUCGGAGCGCAGCACAAGUCGCACUCUCUAUCAGCAAAGGUCUAGCAUCCAUUAAGCCUUUUUUUCAACUUUUGACCUCGGAUCAGGUAGGGAUACCCGCUGAACUUAAGCAUAUCAAUAAGCGGAGGA